Molecule: ribosomal RNA, 251 nt
Filed under: uncultured prokaryote
Description: partial 16S ribosomal RNA
Rfam family: Bacterial small subunit ribosomal RNA
Source: RNAcentral
ACGUAGGGUGCGAGCGUUAAUCGGAAUUACUGGGCGUAAAGCGUGCGCAGGCGGUUCGCUAAGCUAGGUGUGAAAUCCCCGGGCUUAACCUGGGAAUGGCGUUUAUGACUGGCGGGCUGGAGUACUGGAGAGGGGGGUGGAAUUCCACGUGUAGCAGUGAAAUGCGUAGAGAUGUGGAGGAACACCAAUGGCGAAGGCAACCCCCUGGGCCGAUACUGACGCUCAUGCACGAAAGUGUGGGGAGCAAACAG